Molecule: ribosomal RNA, 1727 nt
Filed under: uncultured marine crenarchaeote E6-3G
Lineage: Archaea; Thermoproteati; Candidatus Bathyarchaeota
Description: bacterial SSU rRNA
Rfam family: Archaeal small subunit ribosomal RNA (bases 364-1727)
Source: RNAcentral
AACGAGUCUAGUGAGCGAUAGGCGGCUUGUUCUCGAUUCUUAAGGUUGAUAAUGCUUGUUUUCUGGUUUAGGAAGGAUUAAAUUUCAGGCUAUUGGAAAACUCAUUGUUGUGGGUUAACAUUCAAGGCAUCAUUCAUUAAAUCAUAACGUUUUUAUUCCGACGGCGUCCAUCGAAGGGUGGCGUAAGCCUUCCGCUCGUAAAAUGGCGGCUUCGAUCCGACUGAGGCGUUUGCCUCUGGAUGAAGGAUCGACUCCAGUAGCGGAAACAUAGAUGAUGACCCGAGAAUAGGCGUCGCUGCCUUCGGGUCUGAGAUGGGUCGAGCGAAUUCUCCUCCGACUAUUCGUUUAGCCUUGCGCAAACGAAUUCCGAUUGAUCCCGUCGGACCCCACUGCUAUCGAGGUGGGACUAAGCCAUGCCAGUCGAACGACCCGGACUAUGGCGGGGAGUGGCAGACUGCUCAGUAACACGUAGCUAACCUACCCUCGGGACGGGGAUAACCCCGGGAAACUGGGGCUAAUACCCGAUAGGUGUGGAUUCCUGGAAUGGUGCCAUGCCUAAACGUAAGCGCAUCCAUGUUUGUGUGCACGCCCGAGGAUGGGGCUGCGGCCGAUCAGGCAGUUGGUGAGGUAACGGCUCACCAAACCUUUGACCGGUACGGGCCAUGAGAGUGGUAGCCCGGAGAUGGGCACUGAGACAAGGGCCCAGGCCCUACGGGGCGCAGCAGGCGCGAAACCUCCACAAUUCACGCAAGUGAGAUGGGGUUACCUCGAGUGCCGCCUGAAGAAGGCGGCUUUUCCAUGGUGUAAUGAGCCGUGGGAAUAAGGGGGGGGCAAGACUGGUGUCAGCCGCCGCGGUAACACCAGCCCCCCGAGUGGUGGGGAUGAUUAUUUGGCCUAAAGCGUCCGUAGCCGGCCCUGUAAAUCUCUCGUUAAAUCCAGCGUCCCAAGCGUUGGGCUGCGAGGGGAACUGCAGAGCUAGAGGGUGGGAGAGGUCAGCGGUAUUCCUGGGGUAGGGGCGAAAUCCAUUGAUCCCAGGAGGACCACCAGUGGCGAAGGCUGCUGACUAGAACACGCCUGACGGUGAGGGACGAAAGCUGGGGUAGCGAAUCGGAUUAGAUACCCGAGUAGUCCCAGCCGUAAACGAUGCAGGCUAGGUGUUGGGUCGGCCACGCGCCGCCUCAGUGCCACAGGGAAGCCAUUAAGCCUGCCGCCUGGGGAGUACGGCCGCAAGGCUGAAACUUAAAGGAAUUGGCGGGGGAGCACCACCAGGCGUGAAGCCUGCGGUUUAAUUGGAGUCAACGCCGGGAACCUUACCGGGAGCGACAGCAGAGUGAAGGCCAGGCUGAAGGUCUUGCCAGACGAGCUGAGAGGAGGUGCAUGGCCGUCGCCAGUUCGUGCCGUGAGGUGUCCUCUUAAGUGAGGUAACGAACGAGACCCGCGCCCCAUGUUGCCAGCAAAUCCUAAAGGGAUGUUGGGCACUCUUGGGGGACCGCAGCCGACAAGGCUGAGGAAGGUGCGGGCAACGGCAGGUCAGUAUGCCCCGAAUCUCCCGGGCCACACGCGGGCUGCAAUGGUAGUGACAGAGGGCUGCCACCCCGAGAGGGGGAGCCAAUCCCUAAACACUACCUCAGUUGGGAUCGAGGGCUGCAACCCGCCCUCGUGAACAUGGAAUGCCUAGUAACCGCCGGUCAUCAUCCGGCGGUGAAUACGUCCCUGCUCCUUGCACA